This is a long non-coding RNA of Passer domesticus (house sparrow), 925 nucleotides long. RefSeq lists it as uncharacterized. The record is from RefSeq and is a predicted model, not a curated record. Lineage: Eukaryota; Metazoa; Chordata; Aves; Passeriformes; Passeridae. The transcript is spliced from 3 exons.
UUCACAGAACAGACAACUCUGAUCAAGCAGCAGCGCUGCUGUUUCCCUUGAGUGUGGGAGCUGUCCAUCUGGCACAGCUGCUUGUCGUGUUGGCCAUCCACAUCUGGCAUAUGGGAUUUGAAGUGAAGAACGAACUUGGAUAAAACUGAACAAGAACACCAAUACUGGAAUCAGGACUGACUCAAAUGUGCCACAUGCAACAAUCCAAUACCUCACCAUUGCUCCUGAAAGAGUCUCACGGGAGAUGAAAGCCAGAGUCAUGGAUUAUAUGGGAAGGAGAGUCUGGCAUCGGUCAGUGGAUGAAAUGAUAGAAAAAUUGUUUGGUGAUUAAUAAACCACUCCCUAAAGUAUUUUUUUGAAAUGCGAAGUGGAAGUAAUUAAGGAUGAUGUCCUCUGAAGACAGCACUGACAGCAAAAAAUCCAUUAACAGAAUAUAAAAGGACUAACAAGUAAUGCAUUUUUUCAUGUUUUUUGCAGGCUAUGAAGAAAGUUGAAAGUAUUGCUUUACCAUUAUGUGAAAUUAUGCUUGAUUACUUUUUUAACCUUGUAAAUUAUUUUUUAGUAAACUGUGGAUGGAUCUAUAGAUAAGAUUUAAAUUAAGCUUCAUCUAUAACUCGUUGCUAAACUUCUCUGUAAUCUUUUGAUCAAUUAAGAUAUUCUAAAUUCCUCAGUAUAACCUCACAGUGUUGGAAUUUUUAGAUUUUAUGCAAACAGAAGUCAUACUUAGUAGCUGAAAUUCAUAUUGGUAUUUCAAAACAAAUCAUGUGUUUAAUGCAAAUUGCUGACAUUCUGUAUGAAGUCAUGUUGUUUUUUGGUCAGAAUAUGUCACAUUGUGUCAUGUCACAAACUGUCCUGAAUGGUACUACUGUAACAGGCCAUGACACACCAAUGAGACACACAUAAAGAAAUGAAGUAUUUUUAAGAC